RNAcentral lists this ribosomal RNA (570 nucleotides) under Schwanniomyces occidentalis. Its description in RNAcentral is "eukaryotic LSU rRNA". It matches the Rfam family "Eukaryotic large subunit ribosomal RNA", at positions 45 to 631 of the family's 3401-position model. Lineage: Eukaryota; Fungi; Ascomycota; Pichiomycetes; Serinales; Debaryomycetaceae. The record is from RNAcentral.
AAUAAGCGGAGGAAAAGAAACCAACAGGGAUUGCCUUAGUAACGGCGAGUGAAGCGGCAAAAGCUCAAAUUUGAAAUCUGGCACCUUCGGUGUCCGAGUUGUAAUUUGAAGAAGGUAACUUUGGGAUUGGCUCUUGUCUAAGUUCCUUGGAACAGGACGUCACAGAGGGUGAGAAUCCCGUGCGAUGAGAUGACCAAUCCUAUGUAAAGUGCUUUCGAAGAGUCGAGUUGUUUGGGAAUGCAGCUCUAAGUGGGUGGUAAAUUCCAUCUAAAGCUAAAUAUUGGCGAGAGACCGAUAGCGAACAAGUACAGUGAUGGAAAGAUGAAAAGAACUUUGAAAAGAGAGUGAAAAAGUACGUGAAAUUGUUGAAAGGGAAGGGCUUGAGAUCAGACUUGGUAUUUUGCAUUCCUUACCUUCGUGGUGGGGUUCCUUGCAGUUUACUGGGCCAGCAUCGGUUUGGAUGGUGGGAUAAUGACAUUGGAAUGUGGCUCUGCUUCGGUAGAGUGUUAUAGCCAGUGUUGAUACCGCCUGUCUAGACCGAGGACUGCGUCUUUGACUAGGAUGCUGGCA